GGAGGAUAAAGUGAUCUGGUGGCGCUCACGGACUUCAAAUCCGAUGGCGGGGCGGUUGACCGUCUUGCGGGGAGUUCGAUUCUCUCAUCCUCUCGCCA
This 98-nucleotide transfer RNA is filed under the name Campylobacter curvus. Its description in RNAcentral is "tRNA-Sec". It matches the Rfam family "Selenocysteine transfer RNA". The record is from RNAcentral. Lineage: Bacteria; Pseudomonadati; Campylobacterota; Epsilonproteobacteria; Campylobacterales; Campylobacteraceae. RNAcentral also lists the same sequence under 2 other names.